CCCGCCCCCUCGCCCUCUCGCCCCCUCCCGCGGGAGUCGCGGCGCUGCGGGUAGGAGCCGGGUUGCGGGAGACCCCAGGUUCGGUUGGGAUUCCCAGCCAGAACGGAGCUUAAGCCGGGCAGGCGAGCGAAUGACGGAGUAGCGAGCUGCACGGCGGCGUGCUGCGCUGUUGAGGACGCUGUCCCGCGCGCUCCCAGGCCGCCCCGGGGCUUGGGGUCUUCGAAGGAUAAUCGGCGCCCGGGGCCGAACAGCGGGGGCACACGGGGCGCUGCCGAAGUGCAAGGCCACGGCCAGAGCUCGAGCCCGACGCGCUGUCUGGAGUCGUAGGUUGGCGCCGUUUGGGGUCAGGGUCUGAGGCUUGGGCGCUGCCUGGGCCGAGCGGAGAUCGGGGUUUGCCUCCCGUCCCCGCUCAGGACCCUGACGUGGCUGAAGCGGCCCCGGGAGCAUGAGCGGGCAGCGCGUGGACGUCAAGGUGGUGAUGCUGGGCAAGGAGUACGUGGGCAAGACUAGCCUGGUGGAGCGCUACGUGCACGACCGCUUUCUGGUGGGGCCUUAUCAGAACACCAUCGGGGCCGCCUUCGUGGCCAAGGUGAUGUCGGUCGGAGACCGGACUGUGACAUUAGGUAUUUGGGACACAGCAGGCUCUGAGCGCUAUGAGGCCAUGAGUAGAAUCUACUAUCGGGGUGCCAAGGCUGCCAUCGUCUGCUAUGACCUCACAGACAGCAGCAGCUUUGAGCGAGCAAAGUUCUGGGUGAAGGAACUGCGCAGCCUAGAGGAGGUAGGUGAACAGACCUCACUAGAACACUAGGGGCUGGGGUUUUGUUGGCCUGUGGAGGUGACCCUUGUCUUCUGCCUCAGGGCUGCCAAAUCUACUUAUGUGGCACCAAGAGUGACCUGCUGGAAGAAGACCGGAGGCGUCGACGUGUGGACUUCCAUGACGUCCAGGACUAUGCAGACAGUAGCUGCUCCUCAGCCCUUUGGGGGGUGGGGGUGUGUGGCUGUCUGGGUGGAUCAAAGAAAAUAGGGACUGCCUUGGCUGCCAGGGCAAGGUGCUCUAGGAGGUCUUCCUGGCCUCCUUGAACUGUGGGGUCCAGGAGACUCCCUGAACUGCUAGCCCUCCCUUUUGUCUGUUUAUCUAAUUCUCAGGUAUGAGGCUUUAGUCACUUCUCUUUACAGAUAUCAAAGCUCAGCUCUUUGAAACAUCCAGCAAGACAGGCCAGAGUGUGGACGAGCUCUUCCAGAAAGUGGCAGAGGAUUACGUCAGUGUGGCUGCCUUCCAGGUGAUGACAGAGGACAAGGGCGUGGAUCUGGGCCAGAAGCCAAACCCCUACUUCUACAGCUGUUGUCAUCACUGAGUCAGCACUCACCUGGCCUGGGGGAAUUAAAGGAAUUCCCCGUAAGGGCUGGACCCAGCUCCUUUCUGGGCUUGGGUAGUCAAAUGUCUGAGCUACCCCAGGUCCUCAUGUCAGCAGAGUGGCGCCUGCCUGUGCUGGCCCAUGGAACGGAGACAGCAUUGGGCUGACUGUGGGCAUGAGGAGGGAUAAGGGCUGAUUUGGACCCCAGGCUUCUGCCCUGGACAGCACUUGUGUCUGCAGAUUAUUUAAGUGGCUUUUGAUCUGUAAAUAAAAUCAAUGCACUGUGAAUCACACCCAGCCCCUUUCCCUGCUGUGUGGAUUAGGUGUCAAGACACCUAGUUCUUUCUGGGGCCACCCGGCUGGCCUCACUGCUUAUAUUAAGGCUCCUCCCAACUCUCAUUUUCCUUUGGAAAACAAGACUUUUUUCCCCAUGGUUACCGCUGAGAUACUGGGGCUGUAGUAGUACAAAAGCUCACAGUUCCUUCUGAGUGCUGAAAAGAGUACAUGAGUUGCUUCGAAAUAAAAGGGUCAAGCAUUCCUACCUGA
RNAcentral lists this small RNA (1901 nucleotides) under Pan troglodytes (chimpanzee). Its description in RNAcentral is "retained intron". The record is from RNAcentral. Lineage: Eukaryota; Metazoa; Chordata; Mammalia; Primates; Hominidae.